UAAUUACUGUGUUUAUUUGGUUGUAAUAUCACAAAUGUAUUUGUUUUCUGUAAAUAUGUUUAUGAGAGACACCAAAUGUAGAGCUUUAUUGUUCUAUUUUGUAGUAAUUACUAUCAGGUGAAUUAGUUACACAACCAAGGACUCACCCAUACCGAGUUAAAGUUAGAAAUGUGCAUAUAAGUCCAGACGAUAGGCAUAAGUUUUAUUCUUCACAAGUACGGUAUCCCAUUUAAUCCCUGCUACAGUAGGAAAAUGUGAUAUCUACAACUUCAACAUGACCUUUUUUUUUCCAUGGAUGCUCCCAUCAUCUGAUUUGUUAAAUAGUUGUUAAUCCAAGUAGUAUAGUGUACAGGUGGAUGCUGUCUAAGAAGCACGGUUUUAAAUUGUCUGCAUACCAUAUACGGGGUUGUAUUGUUGGUAAACUCGGAUACAGUAAAUGGUCAAACCCUUUAAUUGCGACUACCAUGAUGACUGCUUCUUAAACCCUGAACCAGCAAGGAAAUUGUAUAGUAUGAGCCAUCCGAGAAAGCAAGGUUUUCCUAUUAAGAGUGCAUAUUCAUCUAUGAUAUGUUUUGGAGUUCUGAUGGUAUCUUUAAUUACCAGUUGAAAUAGGUGUGUCGUUGCAAGGGUAAAAGUUUCUUACAUUUGUAUUUUGUUUGUUAUUUUAAAUAAAGAGAAUUGAAUGAACCAUUCAAACUAGAAGUAGGCUUGAGUCAAUCAUUCGCGAAGUCAGCUAUGGCAUGAGACAUAAUAAAAAAAAAAUUUGACAUAACAUGGUGUUUUAGGCAUUUAAUAAUUAUUACAUUUCUUCAUGCUUCGUAUCUUCUGCACAUCUGAUCUUUGCUUUCUGUUGGCCUUAACGUAGUUCGACGGUUGAUGGUUAGAAACUUAUUUUAUUCCCCGGUAUAUAUAAAUUGCAACUUUGAAAUACUACUUUGAUGCAAUACAAAAUCUGCUCAUGCCACUCUGCAUUGCAUGUGGAUAUACAUUCUAAUGCAUAUAAGCUGUAUAUAUUUUGUUGAGUUAAUCUGUUGUACAUCCAUAUGACAACCUUUAUUUAGCCUAGGCAUGGGUGCAAAUGCAUUAGCUAUUUCAGUGUAAUGAGGUUGUAAUGAGAUUUUUUUUUUCAUUGUGUAAGUGAGCAGGUGCAGUAUGAAAGGUAGUUGUAAUGUUUCUUAUCUAGAACAUUAGGGAGGACAAUUCAGUCAUACAAAUUUUUUUGUGAGUCAUUUAUAAGCUGAGCUUCUUCAUUCCAGAGAAGAUAAUAGGAGGAUAAAUGGUGUCUGCAGCGCAAUCAGGACAGGACAAAAUACAAGUGAACAGACUGGUGGAGGUUGCCUGGGCACAUGGAGAAUGGAAUUAUGGAUAUGACUAAAAUAGACCAUUAGGACAUCGUAAGUAUAAGCAGGUGGUAUGUGGUCAUUUAAGCAGGUGUGAGGAGGAGAUGUAGCCUUGACUCUCUUAAAUCCAUUUUUAUUAGUUUCCAGCCCUAAUAUUUAUCCAACUGAGUGCAAUUCAAAAUCAUAGUCAUCUUCAAUCUGUUUGCGUUAUCUUCAAGGAUAUGGCUGUAGCUGACAAUGAAGCAGUGCUACAUGGCACUGAAGAACAUGGGUUAUUAUCUUGCAGAGUUGAGCUUAUUGGAUUAUGGAUGUAUUUUGUUCGUGCUACUGAGGAUCUAGGCUCUGUUUGUUUGUCUUUUUUGAGAUUUAUGAUCCAUUUGAGCAUGGAUGAGUAUAGGCAAGGAAAGCUUAAUCCUUUACCAAAGCCCUUCAUAAAUCCAUUUGUCUUACUUUGAAGAUGUUGAAGGAGUUAUUGAAGUAUGUAAUGUAGCAACAAUAAAUAAUAAUAGAAAUGUUUGUUUUUUUCCUUUACUAUAAA
Long non-coding RNA from Papaver somniferum (opium poppy), 1878 nucleotides. RefSeq lists it as uncharacterized. The record is from RefSeq and is a predicted model, not a curated record. NCBI's taxonomy places the organism in Eukaryota, Viridiplantae, Streptophyta, Magnoliopsida, Ranunculales, Papaveraceae. The transcript is spliced from 3 exons.